This 253-nucleotide ribosomal RNA is filed under the name uncultured bacterium. RNAcentral describes it as "partial 16S ribosomal RNA". It matches the Rfam family "Bacterial small subunit ribosomal RNA", at positions 524 to 776 of the family's 1533-position model. The record is from RNAcentral.
UACGUAGGGUGCGAGCGUUAAUCGGAAUUACUGGGCGUAAAGUGUGCGCAGGCGGCCGAGCAAGUCGAGUGUGAAAGCCCCGAGCUUAACUUGGGAACUGCGCUCGAAACUACUUGGCUAGAGUGUCGCAGAGGGAGGUGGAAUUCCACGUGUAGCGGUGAAAUGCGUAGAGAUGUGGAGGAACACCGAUGGCGAAGGCAGCCUCCUGGGCCAACACUGACGCUCAUGCACGAAAGCGUGGGGAGCAAACAGG